CAUUGAGAUGCAGGCUACACCCCGGACAGGUCAUCACUCACUCACAGGGCUGACACAUAGACACACCUUCGGGCAAUCUAGAAUCGCUGCCUGUCUUUGGACUGUGGGAGGAAACUGGAGGACACCCACACAGGCCCAAGGAGAAUAUGCAGACUCCAGGCAGAGAGGCUCCAGCCGCCUGGCAGAUUAAAACCCAAAAUCCUUCUCGCUGCGAGUGACAAGUCGAAAUGCCUCCGGUAAAAAAAAGGCCUAUUGGCUGGAAGAACAGUUAACCCCGCCCCAGCCUUUGACAAGCAGGCAACAUGGAGCCUCCAGUGGAACGGACUUGUAUGGCUUUGGACUGUGGGAGGAAACUGGAGCGCCUGGAGGACAUCCACGCAGACACGGGGGAGAACAUAUAAACUCCACACAGAGAGGACCCGGCCGGUCAUACAGUAUAUGGUGCAGUUAGUGAGAGAUGAGAUUCUUGUGCUUGUCCGCCGUUAAAGCCUGCCUUUUCCGAAUGUGUCUACAAAAAUGAAAUCCUUCAUGUAAACAGACCUUAAACAGCAUUAGAUAGCAUU
Xiphias gladius (swordfish) is the source of this 563-nucleotide long non-coding RNA. RefSeq lists it as uncharacterized. NCBI's taxonomy places the organism in Eukaryota, Metazoa, Chordata, Actinopteri, Istiophoriformes, Xiphiidae. The transcript has 3 exons. The record is from RefSeq and is a predicted model, not a curated record.